This 446-nucleotide ribosomal RNA is filed under the name uncultured bacterium. RNAcentral's name for it is "bacterial SSU rRNA". It matches the Rfam family "Bacterial small subunit ribosomal RNA", at positions 329 to 792 of the family's 1533-position model. The record is from RNAcentral.
CGCCAGACUCCUACGGGAGGCAGCAGUGGGGAAUAUUGCACAAUGGGGGAAACCCUGAUGCAGCGACGCCGCGUGAGUGAAGAAGUAUUUCGGUAUGUAAAGCUCUAUCAGCAGGGAAGAAGUUGACGGUACCUGAGUAAGAAGCCCCGGCUAACUACGUGCCAGCAGCCGCGGUAAUACGUAGGGGGCAAGCGUUAUCCGGAUUUACUGGGUGUAAAGGGGGCGUAGACGGCAGUGCAAGUCUGAAGUGAAAGCCCCGGGCUUAACCCGGGAACUGCUUUGGAAACUGUACGGCUGGAGUGCUGGAGAGGUAAGCGGAAUUCCUAGUGUAGCGGUGAAAUGCGUAGAUAUUAGGAGGAACACCAGUGGCGAAGGCGGCUUACUGGACAGUAACUGACGUUGAGGCUCGAAAGCGUGGGGAGCAAACAGGAUUAGAUACCCUCGUA